Long non-coding RNA from Vicia villosa (hairy vetch), 209 nucleotides. RefSeq lists it as uncharacterized. The record is from RefSeq and is a predicted model, not a curated record. NCBI's taxonomy places the organism in Eukaryota, Viridiplantae, Streptophyta, Magnoliopsida, Fabales, Fabaceae. The transcript is spliced from 2 exons.
UCCACUUACUUUUACACCUUUUUUUCCGGUCACAUAACCACCUACUAAUUCUAUUUCAAGUAUUUCCUUCGGUCCAAGAGUGGAACUGCUCUUAACAGUACUCACAAAAGGCUUCAAUUUCUCAUGAUCAACUUGGUUUGUGCUCUGCUUGGAAAGACGAUGGAACAAAGAUUUCAGUUUAUUUACAUCAUCGCUUCAUCGGAUUAUGU